RNAcentral lists this small RNA (261 nucleotides) under uncultured Arthrobacter sp. Its description in RNAcentral is "5' ureB small RNA". It matches the Rfam family "5' ureB small RNA", at positions 29 to 286 of the family's 292-position model. Lineage: Bacteria; Bacillati; Actinomycetota; Actinomycetes; Micrococcales; Micrococcaceae. The record is from RNAcentral.
AUGCACAUGUGUAUCGAUCCCGCCGGCAGUGAGGAUCUUCCCCUCCCCGGCGACCACUUCGGUGCCGGGACCAAUCACCAGGGCAGGGUCCACCCCGUCCAUGAUGUCCGGGUUGCCGGACUUCCCGAUCCCGGCGAUCCGGCCAUUCUUCACCCCCACGUCGGCGCGGACGAUUCCCCAGUGGUCAACGAUUACGACGUUGGUGAUGAUCAGGUCCGGUGCUCCACCGGCCGAGGACCGGGUGGACUGGGCCAUGGAUUC